Molecule: transfer RNA, 64 nt
Filed under: Manis pentadactyla (Chinese pangolin)
Lineage: Eukaryota; Metazoa; Chordata; Mammalia; Pholidota; Manidae
Also listed under: 1 other name
Description: tRNA-Lys
Source: RNAcentral
CAUUAAGAAGCUAGUAGCACUAACCUUUUAAGUUAGAGAUAGAGAGUAUACCUCUCCUUAAUGA